Molecule: long non-coding RNA, 1898 nt
Organism: Macaca mulatta (Rhesus monkey)
Lineage: Eukaryota; Metazoa; Chordata; Mammalia; Primates; Cercopithecidae
Source: Ensembl
CAAAUUUAUCAUCUUGAUGUUUUAAAUAUAAGAAGUCUGAAAUCAGUUUCCUUGGGCUAAAAUAAGCAUAGCAAGGCUACAUUCCUGCUGGAGGCCCUAGGGGAGAAUUCAUUUCUUGUGUUUUUUGUGUGUUUCUUUUUCUUCUCAGCUUUUAGAGGCUGCCUACAUUUCCUGGCUUGUGACAACAUCACUAACCUCUGCUUCUGUGAUCACAUUUUCUUCUGAUUCUGACCUUCCUGCCUUGCUCUUAUAAGAGCCCUUGUGAUUACUUUAGACUCAUUCAAAUAACCCAAGAUAAUCUCUCUAUCUGAAGAUUCUUAACUCAAUCACAUCGGCAAAGUCCCCUUGUCCGUGUAAGGUAAGGUAACAUAGUCACAGGUUCUGGGAUCAGGAUCUUUAAGGAAAGGUUAGUAUUCAGCCUACCACAGUAACUAUUUUACUCAUCCUAAUGAGUUUCUUUAAAAUGUCUUCUAACAGGUGUCUACAUUCUGAUGCAUUUGUUGUAUUAGAUUCCAUGUUCCAAACCAUUAUGUCUUCUUCAAAAACAGCAUGUGUUUACUCAGAGACUUAAUCUGGCUUUGUCUUUUAGAACUUGUUCUAUACAACUUUAAAUUCACUCAUUCUUAUUUUCCAUCCUUCUGCUUCUUGUGAAAGCAGUGUUAUCUUUCUCUGAGGAUGAGGAUUUUCAUCAAAAGUGUAUAUUAGCGCUGGUAGAAGGUGCAGGAUGGGAGGGACUCCACAAUGUGUUUGAAACGUGGUGUGCUAAAGGAAGCUUGUGCUGGCUGGUGAGAACCAACUGUUUAUAUCUCUUUCUAAAUCCAUGCUGGGCCUCCUGUGACCUGAAGUCCUUCACAGUGGGAGUAUCCCACCACAGAAAUUGGUAAGUUAUUGCAAAUCAAGGCUUUUUUUUUUCCUCUUCUGGCUAGCCAGUUGGUAACCAUUCCCAAGCACAUCACUGCCUCCGGACUUCUAAAUCUCAGCUGUGUUCUUCAUCUGUCCCCAAGUUUGUGGUGUCCUCUCUCGUGCCUUUGCUCUGUCCACUAGUCAUCACCAUGCUAACCCAAAGCAGACCCAUAGAUGUUUUUCUCUUGGCUUCUUCUCACUUCUCCUGUAGGGAACAUGGUGGAAGUUCUGACUGACCUCUGCACAGGCCUAAGUGACCUCCAUAGAACUUGGCCUGGUCCCCUCUGUACCUAACAGACAUCACAUUCAUUUCUAUUUAAGCUGAAGUUUUCUCCAAAACUCUGUGUCCUCAACCACUUCCAUAAGUUUGUAUCAUCUCAGUGUUCAAAAGAGAAAACAGAACAAAAGCAUUCUUGCUUGUUUGAUUUUUCUUGAGUUUCUAUUUCUUUUCCUCUCUCAUUCCUGCAUUUAAUCUGGGUGGUGAGAAGAGUAAUAUUACUCUCCCCUGCCCGGCACAUACCCUUAUCCUGUCUGGCCACUUGCCCUUUCCUUUGUUCUGUAUUUCUUUCCGUAGGCUCUCUCUACUAAACCAAAUGCAACACUGCUCUUCAGCUUCCUGUUACCAGAAUUAGUAUAUGCAUAACAUAGAACAUAUAGCAUAUAGUAAGACUUUUUAAAAUUUGGAAAAAUAUAUACCAUGGUUUUAAGAAAGUGAGCUUUGAGACUAAGAGCUGAUCAAUAACUUUUAUUUUUUUUAUUUUUUAUUUUUGAGACAGAGUUUCGCUCUGUCGCCCAGGCUGGAGUGCAGUGGCCGGAUCUCAGCUCACUGCAAGCUCCACCUGCCGGGUUACGCUGAAUAACUUUCUUACGGCAUAAUUUUCCCUUUCUUCCUGAGGUAAAAAAUUUCAUGGUUUAGCCUUAAUAGUAGGGCUGAAAUAAUUAUAGUGUAUAGAGGAAUUAAAAAUCAUAUAAGUUUAAUAUUUGAAAAGGUUGUC